RNAcentral lists this ribosomal RNA (638 nucleotides) under uncultured bacterium. Its description in RNAcentral is "bacterial SSU rRNA". It matches the Rfam family "Bacterial small subunit ribosomal RNA", at positions 80 to 734 of the family's 1533-position model. The record is from RNAcentral.
GAGAAGUAGAGGACAGUGGCGGACGGGUGAGUAACGCGUGAGGAACCUGCCUUUCAGAGGGGGACAACAGUUGGAAACGACUGCUAAUACCGCAUGACACAUUGGGGUCGCAUGGCCUCGAUGUCAAAGAUUUAUCGCUGAAAGAUGGCCUCGCGUCUGAUUAGCUAGUUGGUGAGGUAACGGCCCACCAAGGCGACGAUCAGUAGCCGGACUGAGAGGUUGACCGGCCACAUUGGGACUGAGAUACGGCCCAGACUCCUACGGGAGGCAGCAGUGGGGAAUAUUGGGCAAUGGGCGCAAGCCUGACCCAGCAACGCCGCGUGAAGGAAGAAGGCUUUCGGGUUGUAAACUUCUUUUGUCAGGGACGAGUAGAAGACGGUACCUGACGAAUAAGCCACGGCUAACUACGUGCCAGCAGCCGCGGUAAUACGUAGGUGGCAAGCGUUGUCCGGAUUUACUGGGUGUAAAGGGCGUGUAGCCGGGAAGGCAAGUCAGAUGUGAAAUCCACGGGCUCAACUCGUGAACUGCAUUUGAAACUGUUUUUCUUGAGUAUCGGAGAGGCAAUCGGAAUUCCUAGUGUAGCGGUGAAAUGCGUAGAUAUUAGGAGGAACACCAGUGGCGAAGGCGGAUUGCUGGAC